GCUCCUGUACCUCAGUUGUAGCACCGACGGUAACCAGCAGUACCUCAACGGACAGGUGAAAGUCUUCUUUGGCAACUUUUCAAGCGACUACUGCUUCUCCAACACAAGCCAGCAGGUGUAUUAAAACGAAAAGAUCAACAUAACAUCAGGUUUCUGUCUCAUUAUGGCAUCGCCAGCAAUGAUCACGGUCCCUACCACCGCCUCUCGCUUCGCCCUGCUGCAGAUAGACUCGGACUCGGACUCCGACACCUCUGAGCCGGGGAAGACCUCAACUAAAAACGGACGGGACUCGUCCGGGAAGAUCCGGCAAGGAAAGGCAGGAGCUGGGGGUAAAGCAGGUCAGGUCAACGACAAAAAGAAAGACAAGAAAAAGAAGAAAAAGGAACAGCAGCAGAGUGAGGCAAAUGAGCUACGCAACCUGGCCUUCAAGAAGAUCCCUCAGAAGUCUUCCGUCCCGCCUCCACACAUGUCACUGUCAGGAAUAGCCAGUGAACUUCUCAAUCCUGCAGCAGGCGACCAUAGUAUACCUGCAGAGGGUUGGCAGCAAUGGAAGCAGAGGGAUGAGCAGAUGACCUCUGAACUAUAUGAGGCUGAUUUGGAAAAGGCCUUGAUUCUCAGUAAACUGGAGUUCGAAGAAAAUAAACAGCAGACCGGCACAAACACAUCCUCGCCAAAGUCUCGUGGAGGGAAAGAGGGCGGAGGGAAGAAGGACAAAAAGAAGAAUCAGCAGGCUAAAGACAAAAAGACUGUUUCUCUGCAGGACUUCCAGGCUGAAGGCAGUGUAGAACACUCAAGUAAGAAACAAGAGAAAGAGGAUGGCAGAGCGGCAAACCCAGAAUUGGGAAUCGGGCAAGAAGAGCGUUUUUUUAAUAAACUGGAGGAUGACGUCAGUCGGAUUAUUCAACGAGAGAAGAGACGUGAGCAGUACUCUAACAGCCAGGGACAAGAAGUCAACACCUCAACAGAACACGAACCAGACCCCCGUGCAGAGCAGCUGAAGUACGACCUGGAGAAGAAAGACCAGGAGAUUGAUAAGCUAAAGAAAACUAUUUCACAAUGGGAGGUGAAAUACAAAGAGGUGAAAGCAAGAAAUGCCCAGCUGCUGAAAAUGCUCCAACAGGGAGAGAUGAAAGAUAAAGCAGAAAUCCUGCUACAAGUAGAGGAGCUACUACAUAUCAAAGAAGAACUAUCAUCACAGGUAACAUUACUACAUGGUGCUCUUGAACAAGAAAGGUCUAAAGUCAAAGGUCUGCAGUCCGAACAGCCGAAACAUCAGGUAAGUGCACAAAUAAUCACUCACUAUCACUCACUCACAACUGUGAUUUACUGUUGCAUCUGUACUCGUUCACUCGUAUCAGAGUUGAGACGUAGAUGCUGAGAGAUGAUGAUGAUGUGUUACUCUACAAUGAAUUGCAUGGAUGGGAUUAUCUGGGUAUUAGCAGAUCUUGGUGUGUGUGUACUUGCAUGCAUGUUCCUUGUUUCCCUCUGUAGACCAGUGAAACUUCAGGCAGUAGGUCAGGUGAAGGGAAAAAAAAUUCAGUGGAAACAAGAAGGGGAAGAAAGGCUCUGAGUCGGAUCUAUGAAGGCUCCCACAGGAAAGCACCUUAACUGCAAAAUCAAAUUAAUGAAUGAACAAAUGAAGAAAAACCCUACUGAUCAUUAUAAGGGUUCUCUUUCCUUAUUUUUUUAUGUCGGACGCCGUGUCAGCAUAUAAUGCAUGCCCCUCUAAACACAAACAGACACACAUACACACACAACACUCCAGACAUAGCAGGAUGUAUUACGAACAAGAAUUUCAGAGGCUUUUAAAAAUGAGUGACUUUUAAGUUUGUGUUUAAAAUGGUGUCCUGGCUCUCAAUGCUGCCCUCUGCAGGCAUAAAUGUUCCACUGCAUCUGCAAGGCUGUGUGCCUGGUUUCUCUGUGGGUUUUAAGGCCAAACUGACAGAUGUGAAAUGUAUGUUCUCUUUUCAUUUCGAACUUUCUCACUGUUAAGUAAAUAAAAAUACUUUUUCUUUGAGGAAACA
RNA transcript from Scomber scombrus (Atlantic mackerel), 2024 nucleotides. It is a transcript of the gene named G kinase anchoring protein 1, with no coding region annotated. The record is from RefSeq and is a predicted model, not a curated record. Lineage: Eukaryota; Metazoa; Chordata; Actinopteri; Scombriformes; Scombridae. The transcript is spliced from 12 exons.